AUUGAACGCUGGCGGCAGGCCUAACACAUGCAAGUCGAACGAGUGGCGGACGGGUGAGUAAUGUCUGGGAAACUGCCUGAUGGAGGGGGAUAACUACUGGAAACGGUAGCUAAUACCGCAUACCAUCGGAUGUGCCCAGAUGGGAUUAGCUAGUAGGUGGGGUAACGGCUCACCUAGGCGACGAUCCCUAGCUGGUCUGAGAGGAUGACCAGCCACAAUGGGACUGAGACACGGUCCAGACGCAGACGGGCGGCAGAAGUGUGGAAUAUUGGACAAUGGGCGCCAGCCUGAUGCAGCCUUGCCGCGUGUGUGAAGAAGGCCUUCGGGUUGUACAGCGCUUUCAGCGGGGAGGCGUUACCCGCAGAAGAAGCACCGUCUAACUCCGUGCCAGCAGCCGCGGUAAUU
RNAcentral lists this ribosomal RNA (405 nucleotides) under uncultured bacterium. Its description in RNAcentral is "partial 16S ribosomal RNA". It matches the Rfam family "Bacterial small subunit ribosomal RNA", at positions 30 to 525 of the family's 1533-position model. The record is from RNAcentral.